RNAcentral lists this ribosomal RNA (252 nucleotides) under uncultured soil bacterium. RNAcentral's name for it is "partial 16S ribosomal RNA". It matches the Rfam family "Bacterial small subunit ribosomal RNA", at positions 26 to 278 of the family's 1533-position model. The record is from RNAcentral.
AGGACGAACGCUGGCGGCGCGCUUAACACAUGCAAGUCGUACGGGGCUCCUUCGGGGGUUCAGUGGCGAACGGGUGCGUAACACGUGAGCAAUCUGCCCUUGUGCGGGGGAUAACCAGAGGAAACUCUGGCUAAUACCGCAUGACAUCCUCUGGCUGAUGGCCUAGGGAUUAAAGCUGCUGAAAGGCAGUGCGCAGGGAGGAGCUCGCGGCGUAUCAGCUAGUUGGUGAGGUAACGGCUCACCAAGGCGAUG